UUGGGCAACGGUGCCAAAACACCUUUUUGGGAUUCCCCAUGGCUUCUUGGGCGGAAACCGAAGGACAUUGCCCCUUUGAUUUAUGAGGCCUCCACGCGCAAGAACUGGAAGGUGCGUGAGGCCCUCCAUGGAGAUGCUUGGAUUCUUAAGAUCGGUCGCAACACCAUCGUCUCCGGUGCCCACAUCCUCCAAUUCUUCACGUUAUGGAUGCUUGUGCAUGACCUACACUUGGAUCAACAAACUGACGAUGACAUUAUAUGGAAACACGCCAACGACGGGUCCUACUCCGCGGCCACCACCUACAAGGCUCAUUUUCUUGGACUGACACUUUCGCCCAUGGACUUUAUGAUCUGGAAGGCUUGGGCCCCUCCUAAGAUCAAGUUUUUUGCUUGGUUGGCUAUCCAAGACCGGAUUUGGACAGCCGACAGAUUGGAGCGGCGCAGUUGGCAAAACUGUGGACUUUGCCCGCUUUGCAAACGUGUUGGCGAGACGGGUGCACACCUCUUCUACAAAUGCCGCUACACCAUAAGGCUAUGGAACUCGGUCAUCCUUGAAUUUGGUCUAGCGCACAUGGACACCUCCUCUUGGCAUUUGGAUGGAUCCGUUUUGGAAUGGUGGGAAAAGCGAACCUGCUUGCAAAACCCAAACCGACGAGCCUUGGCCUCACUUACAAUGCUAGUCUCUUGGACGAUCUGGAACGAGCGUAAUGCUCGGGUCUUCCGACACAAGAGCGCACCGCCUCCGGUC
RNAcentral lists this ribosomal RNA (747 nucleotides) under Triticum aestivum (bread wheat). RNAcentral's name for it is "partial small subunit ribosomal RNA". Lineage: Eukaryota; Viridiplantae; Streptophyta; Magnoliopsida; Poales; Poaceae. The record is from RNAcentral.